GCUCAGAUUGAACGCUGGCGGCAGGCCUAACACAUGCAAGUCGAACGGUAACAGGAAGCAGCUUGCUGCUUUGCUGACGAGUGGCGGACGGGUGAGUAAUGUCUGGGAAACUGCCUGAUGGAGGGGGAUAACUACUGGAAACGGUGGCUAAUACCGCAUAACGUCGCAAGACCAAAGAGGGGGACCUUCGGGCCUCUUGCCAUCAGAUGUGCCCAGAUGGGAUUAGCUUGUUGGUGAGGUAACGGCUCACCAAGGCGACGAUCCCUAGCUGGUCUGAGAGGAUGACCAGCCACACUGGAACUGAGACACGGUCCAGACUCCUACGGGAGGCAGCAGUGGGGAAUAUUGCACAAUGGGCGCAAGCCUGAUGCAGCCAUGCCGCGUGUAUGAAGAAGGCCUUCGGGUUGUAAAGUACUUUCAGCGGGGAGGAAGGUGUUGUGGUUAAUAACCGCAGCAAUUGACGUUACCCGCAGAAGAAGCACCGGCUAACUCCGUGCCAGCAGCCGCGGUAAUACGGAGGGUGCAAGCGUUAAUCGGAAUUACUGGGCGUAAAGCGCACGCAGGCGGUCUGUCAAGUCGGAUGUGAAAUCCCCGGGCUCAACCUGGGAACUGCAUUCGAAACUGGCAGGCUUGAGUCUUGUAGAGGGGGGUAGAAUUCCAGGUGUAGCGGUGAAAUGCGUAGAGAUCUGGAGGAAUACCGGUGGCGAAGGCGGCCCCCUGGACAAAGACUGACGCUCAGGUGCGAAAGCGUGGGGAGCAAACAGGAUUAGAUACCCUGGUAGUCCACGCCGUAAACGAUGUCUACUUGGAGGUUGUGCCCUUGAGGCGUGGCUUCCGGAGCUAACGCGUUAAGUAGACCGCCUGGGGAGUACGGCCGCAAGGUUAAAACUCAAAUGAAUUGACGGGGGCCCGCACAAGCGGUGGAGCAUGUGGUUUAAUUCGAUGCAACGCGAAGAACCUUACCUGGUCUUGACAUCCACAGAAGAAUCCAGAGAUGGAUUUGUGCCUUCGGGAACUGUGAGACAGGUGCUGCAUGGCUGUCGUCAGCUCGUGUUGUGAAAUGUUGGGUUAAGUCCCGCAACGAGCGCAACCCUUAUCCUUUGUUGCCAGCGGUUAGGCCGGGAACUCAAAGGAGACUGCCAGUGAUAAACUGGAGGAAGGUGGGGAUGACGUCAAGUCAUCAUGGCCCUUACGACCAGGGCUACACACGUGCUACAAUGGCGCAUACAAAGAGAAGCGACCUCGCGAGAGCAAGCGGACCUCAUAAAGUGCGUCGUAGUCCGGAUUGGAGUCUGCAACUCGACUCCAUGAAGUCGGAAUCGCUAGUAAUCGUGGAUCAGAAUGCCACGGUGAAUACGUUCCCGGGCCUUGUACACACCGCCCGUCACACCAUGGGAGUGGGUUGCAAAAGAAGUAGGUAGCUUAACCUUCGGGAGGGCGCUUACCACUUUGUGAUUCAUGACUGGGGUGAAGUCGUAACAAGGUAACCGUAGGGGAACCUGCGGUUGGA
RNAcentral lists this ribosomal RNA (1510 nucleotides) under Salmonella enterica subsp. enterica serovar Enteritidis. RNAcentral's name for it is "bacterial SSU rRNA". It matches the Rfam family "Bacterial small subunit ribosomal RNA". Lineage: Bacteria; Pseudomonadati; Pseudomonadota; Gammaproteobacteria; Enterobacterales; Enterobacteriaceae. The record is from RNAcentral.